RNAcentral lists this ribosomal RNA (457 nucleotides) under uncultured organism. RNAcentral's name for it is "partial 16S ribosomal RNA". It matches the Rfam family "Bacterial small subunit ribosomal RNA", at positions 335 to 800 of the family's 1533-position model. The record is from RNAcentral.
ACUCCUACGGGAGGCAGCAGUGGGGAAUAUUGCACAGUGGGCGCAAGCCUGAUGCAGCGACGCCGCGUGGGGGAUGAAGGCCUUCGGGUUGUAAACUCCUUUCGCUAGGGACGAAGCUUUUUUGUGACGGUACCUAGAUAAGAAGCACCGGCUAACUACGUGCCAGCAGCCGCGGUAAUACGUAGGGUGCGAGCGUUGUCCGGAAUUACUGGGCGUAAAGGGCUCGUAGGUGGUUUGUCGCGUCGUCUGUGAAAUUCUGGGGCUUAACUCCGGGCGUGCAGGCGAUACGGGCAUAACUUGAGUGCUGUAGGGGUAACUGGAAUUCCUGGUGUAGCGGUGAAAUGCGCAGAUAUCAGGAGGAACACCGAUGGCGAAGGCAGGUUACUGGGCAGUUACUGACGCUGAGGAGCGAAAGCAUGGGUAGCGAACAGGAUUAGAAACCCUAGUAGUCCCAUGA